GAACGCGAAGAACCUUACCCGGGCUUGAACUAAGAGUGACAGAUUUAGAGAUAGAUUUUUCUUCGGACACUCUUGGAGGUGCUGCAUGGUUGUCGUCAGCUCGUGCCGUGAGGUGUCGGCUUAAGUGCCAUAACGAGCGCAACCCUUUUCCUUGGUUGCCAUCAGGUAAUGCUGGGCACUCCAGGGAUACUGCCAUCGUAAGAUGUGAGGAAGGUGGGGAUGACGUCAAAUCAGCACGGCCCUUACGUCCGGGGCUACACACGUGUUACAAUGGGGGGUACAGAAGGUCGCUACCUGGUGACAGGAUGCUAAUCUCCAAAACCUCUCUCAGUUCGGAUUGGAGCCUGCAACCCGACUCCAUGAAGCUGGAUUCGCUAGUAAUCGCGCAUCAGCCAUGGCGCGGUGAAUACGUUCCCGGGUCUUGUACACACC
Molecule: ribosomal RNA, 432 nt
Filed under: uncultured bacterium
Lineage: Bacteria
Description: bacterial SSU rRNA
Rfam family: Bacterial small subunit ribosomal RNA
Source: RNAcentral